This 433-nucleotide ribosomal RNA is filed under the name uncultured bacterium. RNAcentral describes it as "partial 16S ribosomal RNA". It matches the Rfam family "Bacterial small subunit ribosomal RNA", at positions 29 to 507 of the family's 1533-position model. The record is from RNAcentral.
AGCGAACGCUGGCGGCAGGCUUAACACAUGCAAGUCGAGCGGGCACUUCGGUGUCAGCGGCAGACGGGUGAGUAACACGUGAGAACGUACCCUUCGGUUCGGAAUAACGCUGGGAAACUAGCGCUAAUACCGGAUACGCCCUUUUGGGGAAAGGUUUACUGCCGAAGGAUCGGCCCGCGUCUGAUUAGCUAGUUGGUGGGGUAAUGGCCUACCAAGGCGACGAUCAGUAGCUGGUCUGAGAGGAUGAUCAGCCACACUGGGACUGAGACACGGCCCAGACUCCUACGGGAGGCAGCAGUGGGGAAUAUUGGACAAUGGGCGCAAGCCUGAUCCAGCCAUGCCGCGUGAGUGAUGAAGGCCUUAGGGUUGUAAAGCUCUUUUGUCCGGGACGAUAAUGACGGUACCGGAAGAAUAAGCCCCGGCUAACUUCGUG